Molecule: long non-coding RNA, 580 nt
Filed under: Ananas comosus (pineapple)
Lineage: Eukaryota; Viridiplantae; Streptophyta; Magnoliopsida; Poales; Bromeliaceae
Description: long non-coding RNA (ACOM_LNC017086)
Source: RNAcentral
GCCACAAAUACAGGGAAUCCACUGUUUACACGGACAUAGUCUACCUUAUAUUUGCACGGCGUCGCACAAGUACAAGUACAUAACCAGGAUACAACCACUAUACUGAAUAUACAGACAUCCAACAUCUAUAUAUAUCCAUACACCAUUCAUCACAUGUUCACAUUCAUGAUUUGAACAUAAAAUCACAACUAUUAGUUAAAACGUUUCCAACUCAGAAACGAGUUUUGAAAUACUAAGUUAUGAAAACUACAAAAAACCUUUCGAAAGCUGUUUCCCACACGGAAACUCUUUUUUUUUUAAACGCGCUACCACGGGGGGUAGAAAAUUAUUUUUCAUUUCACAAAAUCCACAAAUCUAUUUAUUACAUUCAUGAAAACCCAUAUUUUCAAAUGUAAUAAAAAUACUGAACCAUAUAAACUAUCUAAGCUAUAUCAACAGAAUAGUAAGGAUAGAAACUAAACCGAAUAACCUGGGUCGGAAGCUAUAUCGACCGCUACGAACGUAUCUCACGUCUCGUCUCAACUCUGACCGCCUGCGAUACCUGAAAAAUUGUUGGGGAGGUAAGAAGGCGCGUUAAUGG